Myotis myotis is the source of this 608-nucleotide long non-coding RNA. RefSeq lists it as uncharacterized. The transcript has 5 exons. The record is from RefSeq and is a predicted model, not a curated record. NCBI's taxonomy places the organism in Eukaryota, Metazoa, Chordata, Mammalia, Chiroptera, Vespertilionidae.
GAAAGCAAUGAGGCUCCUGGUUUCAAUUUUGGCUUCUGAGAGAUUUCAUGUUCCCUCGAGAGUGGUGCCAGACCAAGGAAGUCAAAUUGCUCUCUACUCAUCCAUGGCAGUGACCAUGAACAUGACCCCACAAAAAAGCAGUCAACAUAAAGUCCACAGGUGGUCUCUCUGAACUCUGCUUCUCGCAGGCACCAGCUAUCUUCUCUGGUCACAACCCAGCUCCACACCCAAGGCUCAGCUCCACAUGACUCCCAGCAGAAACCCAGGACCUACAGAAUGGAGAUGUGGCUGUGGUGUGAAGUAGGGCAAAUGUGGUAAGUUUCCAUGCAUUCCUCAUUCAAAAAAAUCUUUAUUGCGGUUACCUCAAUGGUAGGUUCCUACUCAGUGGUUUUACAGGGGUAGUAUCGGAUGUUCUGAGGUAUACAAAACUUUAAAAAACAGACAUGGAUUCUACCCUCAAGAAGCUUCAAGUCUCAUACAUGCUAAAAGAUGAAAGAUGGCCCUAACAGGUUUUGCUCAGUGGUUAGAGCGUCGGCUUGUGGACUGAAGGGUCCCAGAUUUGAUUCCAGUCAAAAGCAUGUACCUUGGUUGUGGGCACAUCCCCAGUA